Long non-coding RNA from Pistacia vera, 250 nucleotides. RefSeq lists it as uncharacterized. The record is from RefSeq and is a predicted model, not a curated record. The transcript is spliced from 3 exons. Lineage: Eukaryota; Viridiplantae; Streptophyta; Magnoliopsida; Sapindales; Anacardiaceae.
UUCUUAAUCAGUUGUUGCAUUUGCCUUUUCUAUUUUAUGCCAGGUGACAUGGGUACUCUUUGUUACUGGGUUCAGGUCACACAAUCAGGGUUCUUCCCUAAAGCCUCAUGUCAUAGGAAACCUUUUACAUGACUGGUGGUUGGAAUACAGCUGAAUCCUCAAUUUAUGGGCAUUGAUCUCAAAUGAGUGUGGCAGGAGCCAGAAAAGCUUGUCAAAGUCAAUAUGGGUGGUUGAAGGAAGCAUUUGAUAG